RNAcentral lists this transfer RNA (74 nucleotides) under Oscillatoriales cyanobacterium. RNAcentral describes it as "tRNA-Pro". It matches the Rfam family "tRNA". From Rfam's summary of the family: Transfer RNA (tRNA) molecules are approximately 80 nucleotides in length. Their secondary structure includes four short double-helical elements and three loops (D, anti-codon, and T loops). The record is from RNAcentral. Lineage: Bacteria; Bacillati; Cyanobacteriota; Cyanophyceae; Oscillatoriales. RNAcentral also lists the same sequence under 14 other names.
CGGGAUGUAGCGCAGCUUGGUAGCGCACCUCGUUCGGGUCGAGGGGGCCGCUGGUUCGAAUCCAGUCAUCCCGA